UUUUCUCCACUAAAUAUGAAUUGAUUCCCAAAAACACACAUACCCCGCCUAAUUUCUCCCGCUUCCUCAAAAUUCCAAACCCAAAACCUAGUCAAACGCUCAAACCCGUCUCUCUCCCUCUCGAUCCAUCUGUUUUAUGUGAAACAACUUGUACCAACUAUUGCGAACCAGCAUAACACCUCCAAAUCACACAACCAUAUACAACCAUUCGGCUCGUUGACCAACCGAUAAACUACUAUAGCUUCUGCCAUGUCUGACACAUCGACUUGUGUAUCACUGCUGACUGCCGAUCUACUACUCUUUGAGAUUAUGAUUGAGGUACCAUUGAACGGUCCUUCACAAAUUGCUUAAAAUAUUUUUAAGAAUUCAGUAUUUUGCAUUGCUAGCUUUGCUUUUUUUACCAUGAAUACUUGAAUUCAUUAUGAAUUUUGAUUAGUGCUUUAAUUUUGGGGUUUAAUUGAAAUUUUCUACUGUAAGGGCUUUGUUUUUGUGUGAGUUGCUUUAUUUUUUUAUGUUUGGAUAGUGCUACAUUAUAUGUUAUCUUUGCUUGAAACAUGUUUGAUGAAAUGCCACAUAAAGAGCAGGUUGUCUAGACCCUGAGUAGUUAAUGUUGAAUCAUGUUCUAUAGCGUUAGAUCGUUUGUACUCUCUUUUGCUACCUUAUUUCUUCGCCCUAAUUUUCGCAGUUACUAUUAAAUGUAUUUAUACAAAGCUUCACUUCCAGACUUGGGGUUCAUUUUGAAAAAUGAAUCGUUAUUUAAUGAAUUUAUGUUAUAUAUGCCACACAUAUGUUAAGGUUGAAUUGGUUUCCUUUAUUAAUUACCGACAUAGUUGUUAAAAGCCAUUGACUCUUGCGCCUAGGCCCAAUUUCCUAACAAGGUGAGGCAGUUGCGCUUUAAUUCUCCAAGUGAUGGUUCAUGUGCAGGUUCCGGCGAGAUUCCUAGAUUCUUGAGAGUUUUCGGCCAAAUUCUCUAAAUUCUUGCAACAUUCUAGCUAGACUUCUACUUUUAUCUAAUGAAACAACUUUUCUACACUAAUAAACUAACAUUUUAUAACUUUUGGUACUAAAUAGACGAUAUUAAACGUUAUAUAAUAGCUUUUUUUUAUUUGAAGAAUAAUAUAAUUCUCUAUUAUAUAAAAAUAUUUUAAGUUUUUUUUGUUGUUCGCUUUUUUUUUCUCGGGCCCGCACUUUUUUUGCGCCUUGCACCUAGGCCCAGGCGAAGCCUAUGUGCCUUGAGUGCGCUUAAUGCCUUUAAUACCUAUGUUUACCGGAUGUUGGUUAUGUACCAAACUACCAAUAUAGUUCUUAGGCUAUUGAAAUGACAUUCUUGAAGUACUAGGAUCUGUCUUUGUUUUUUUCUAAAUCUUUAUAGGCACUUUGAAGUUGGUGUUUUUAUGCCCCUUUUUUCAUUGUAGGAAAAAAAAAUAUUAAGUUUAGUCUACUUUGAAGUCUUCAACCCAGUCCAAAAAUGUUAAUAUGUCUAUUUCUGUAGGUCCUUGUUAAUUUUAAACAUGCUUGUUUUUGCAUGUUCUUGUUGUCCAUGUGCAUGCUAUGUUUAUACUCGUUCUUAUCAACCUUUCUAAAAGGGCGCGUCUACUUUAAUCUAAGGGGAGUGCAUGCUUUUAGGACAAGGUAUUAUAUCUUUAUGCCAGAGUAAGUUUUGUAUAACCUUUUUUUUGGCUUGGCAGUAAGGCACAUCAGACAAAUCAUCUGCUAGGGUAUACUUGUUCUAUCCUACAAUGAUUUGAAAAGAAAGCAACAAGUUUGUUGUUUGUGAAGUGUUCUCUUAUGUAAGCAAACUUGUCAUGUGGAAAUGUGUGAACACUUAAAAAUAUGUUAGGUGUUGACCGGCUACAGAUGUAAUAAUCUAAUAUUAUAAUGUUUAAUUUAGGAAGGUCUUGUUGCGAUGUUCGAGAAUUUGCUCGUUUAAUUUAGCUCUUACUUGGGGUAUGUUUGGCACACAACUUUUAGGAUGUUUUAAGAGCCUUAACUUUUUGUUUUUGAAAAAAAAAAUAAGCACUCUUUGAAAAAAGCCUAGUUUGGAACACAAAGCUUUAGCUUUGACUUUGGAAAAAUAAGUUAGCUUGUGCAGCAUUCAAAACAAGUUGGAGCUUGUAAUUUUGCAAAGCUAUUCUUUUAUUCUUACUUAAUCAUGUCUGCCAUUCGAGCUUUUUAUGUGUUUUUCUUUUAUAUAAUUUUACUACAGCUCUGCCCUUUGUCUUUUGCCUAUCUCCCUGUUUUCAGUUACAAUCUGUUUGGUAUAGUUCUUAGUACUGAUCUAAAUUCCUAACUUAACUUACAUUUAAACUUGACAAGGUACUGUCUAGUGGAGCCUGCAAAAGUGUCCUAUAUAUGGUACAUUAUACAUUUUUAAAUGUCAAGAUAGAUCCUAUUUUAUUUGUUAGCCAUCAUGUUGCAUUAACAAGUUCUCUCUAUAUUCUUCAUUGUUUAUAAACCUACUCACUUUAUGGGGUAAUGUUUUGGAUUCAAUUUUUUUGUAAUAAAUAUGAUUUCUUGAUGGUAUAGUUUUAUUUAUGUAGAAACCAAGGGCAUGCCAUUCGCAGAGUGAAAGUUAGGGGCUGUUUGGCAACAUCUGUAUGGUUAAGUGCUGAACCAGUAAGAGGUCUGAACCGUUAAGUACUGAACCAGUAAGAGGUCUGAACCAUUAAGUGCUGAACCAGUAAGAUGUCUGAACCAUUAAGAGCCUGUAUAAUGCUUAACCGUUCAAAGGCAAAUGUCUGACCAAUUCAGAUUAGAGGUCUUAACCAUUCAGACUUUGUAUAAAUCUUAACCAUUCAGAGGCAAAUGUCUGAACCAUUCAGACAUCUACUCGUGAAACAAACAGUCUGAACCAUUAAGUGCUGAACCAGUAAGAGGUCUGAACCAUUAAGAGCCUCAUUAAGAGGUAUACAAACAGCCCCUUAGGCUUCAAUUACCAGUUGCAACAAAGGAUGUUAUCUACAACCCCACUUUUGUCUCCUAAAAUCUUUCCGUUACAUGUUUGUUAGUACUAAUUUAUUCACUUUAGGUUUUUCCGAACAUCUGCAAAAUGGUCGUUAUUAAUUUUAAUAUGAAAUUAUUUGCAGUUGCUUUGCUAUCCAUUGUAUGUCGAAGCUUAGAACAUAUUGCAAAUUAAAUAGGCAUUUUGGUCAUUCCUCCUUAUACAGCUAUUGAAGCUAGAAAACGAUCAUAAUCACUUCUGUGGAAUGCGAGCUAGAGAAAGAGGUGGUAUUUUCUAGCAAAAUUGUUUAAUAUUAGUAUUUGCAGUGGUUCAAAUCAACUGGACUAUGAAGACAUUUAAUUAACAACUGUGGAACAAAUGAUCAACUACAAACCUCUAGAAGAUGUAAGUGCUUUGGUUAAUCCUUUUAUGAGUGUAAUGAACAAGGAGUAUGGCGACUACCUUCUACUUUAUGGCAAAGGUAUUAUUAAAAAAAGGAUGGUGGUGAGGAACCAUACAUGAUUCUGGGUGGACUUAUGGAAUUAUUCAAGGCGAGCCUUGAAGUUAAAAAAACAUAGUUGCUUGAAAUGCGAAAAGAAAUUGAGGAGAACCAUUAAAGGAAAAAAAAAACUGAGCUAGAAGCAAUGAAAAAAAGAUUUUGACAUACACCGAACAACUUAGAAGCUACGAUGUGAAGUAUUAUUUGGAAAAGCUACCUAUUCGAGAACUUCCGGAUCUUAGAGAUGAGUAGAAACUUUAUGUUACUUUUAUCAUUGUAAAUGACAACUUCAUUUUGGUUACAUUGUUAUUUUGAGUUUGGACAUGUGUUAAGUUGCCAUAUAAUAGAUAUGUUAUUAUUUUGU
This 3804-nucleotide long non-coding RNA is filed under the name Helianthus annuus (common sunflower). Its description in RNAcentral is "hypothetical non coding rna". Lineage: Eukaryota; Viridiplantae; Streptophyta; Magnoliopsida; Asterales; Asteraceae. The record is from RNAcentral.